This 266-nucleotide ribosomal RNA is filed under the name uncultured bacterium. Its description in RNAcentral is "partial 16S ribosomal RNA". It matches the Rfam family "Bacterial small subunit ribosomal RNA", at positions 57 to 305 of the family's 1533-position model. The record is from RNAcentral.
GCAAGUCGAACGAGAAAGGGAUUGCUUGCAAUCCUGAGUAGAGUGGCGCACGGGUGAGUAACACGUAGAUAAUCUGCCUUCAAGCCCGGGAUAACUAUUCGAAAGGAUAGCUAAUACCGGAUAAAGUCGGUUUACACAAGUAGACUGAUGAAAGAUUGCCUCUUCUUGAAAGCAAUUGUUUGGAGAUGAGUUUGCGUACCAUUAGCUUGUCGGCGGGGUAAAGGCCUACCAAGGCAACGAUGGGUAGCCGGUCUGAGAGGAUGAUC